GACGGGCCUCCUCGCAUGGGAACACGGCCAAUCGGGUCAGGUGGGGAACCAAGCAGCCCUAACCGGCGAACCCAGUGCCGGGGUCAGGCUCGUCACC
RNAcentral lists this signal recognition particle RNA (97 nucleotides) under Burkholderiales bacterium. RNAcentral's name for it is "signal recognition particle sRNA small type". It matches the Rfam family "Bacterial small signal recognition particle RNA". From Rfam's summary of the family: The signal recognition particle (SRP) is a universally conserved ribonucleoprotein involved in the co-translational targeting of proteins to membranes. Archaeal SRP consists of a 7S RNA and homologues of the eukaryotic SRP19 and SRP54 proteins. The record is from RNAcentral. RNAcentral also lists the same sequence under 2 other names. Lineage: Bacteria; Pseudomonadati; Pseudomonadota; Betaproteobacteria; Burkholderiales.